This 2893-nucleotide ribosomal RNA is filed under the name Escherichia coli. RNAcentral describes it as "bacterial LSU rRNA". It matches the Rfam family "Bacterial large subunit ribosomal RNA". Lineage: Bacteria; Pseudomonadati; Pseudomonadota; Gammaproteobacteria; Enterobacterales; Enterobacteriaceae. The record is from RNAcentral. RNAcentral also lists the same sequence under 1 other name.
ACUAAGCGUACACGGUGGAUGCCCUGGCAGUCAGAGGCGAUGAAGGACGUGCUAAUCUGCGAUAAGCGUCGGUAAGGUGAUAUGAACCGUUAUAACCGGCGAUUUCCGAAUGGGGAAACCCAGUGUGUUUCGACACACUAUCAUUAACUGAAUCCAUAGGUUAAUGAGGCGAACCGGGGGAACUGAAACAUCUAAGUACCCCGAGGAAAAGAAAUCAACCGAGAUUCCCCCAGUAGCGGCGAGCGAACGGGGAGCAGCCCAGAGCCUGAAUCAGUGUGUGUGUUAGUGGAAGCGUCUGGAAAGGCGCGCGAUACAGGGUGACAGCCCCGUACACAAAAAUGCACAUGCUGUGAGCUCGAUGAGUAGGGCGGGACACGUGGUAUCCUGUCUGAAUAUGGGGGGACCAUCCUCCAAGGCUAAAUACUCCUGACUGACCGAUAGUGAACCAGUACCGUGAGGGAAAGGCGAAAAGAACCCCGGCGAGGGGAGUGAAAAAGAACCUGAAACCGUGUACGUACAAGCAGUGGGAGCACGCUUAGGCGUGUGACUGCGUACCUUUUGUAUAAUGGGUCAGCGACUUAUAUUCUGUAGCAAGGUUAACCGAAUAGGGGAGCCGAAGGGAAACCGAGUCUUAACUGGGCGUUAAGUUGCAGGGUAUAGACCCGAAACCCGGUGAUCUAGCCAUGGGCAGGUUGAAGGUUGGGUAACACUAACUGGAGGACCGAACCGACUAAUGUUGAAAAAUUAGCGGAUGACUUGUGGCUGGGGGUGAAAGGCCAAUCAAACCGGGAGAUAGCUGGUUCUCCCCGAAAGCUAUUUAGGUAGCGCCUCGUGAAUUCAUCUCCGGGGGUAGAGCACUGUUUCGGCAAGGGGGUCAUCCCGACUUACCAACCCGAUGCAAACUGCGAAUACCGGAGAAUGUUAUCACGGGAGACACACGGCGGGUGCUAACGUCCGUCGUGAAGAGGGAAACAACCCAGACCGCCAGCUAAGGUCCCAAAGUCAUGGUUAAGUGGGAAACGAUGUGGGAAGGCCCAGACAGCCAGGAUGUUGGCUUAGAAGCAGCCAUCAUUUAAAGAAAGCGUAAUAGCUCACUGGUCGAGUCGGCCUGCGCGGAAGAUGUAACGGGGCUAAACCAUGCACCGAAGCUGCGGCAGCGACGCUUAUGCGUUGUUGGGUAGGGGAGCGUUCUGUAAGCCUGCGAAGGUGUGCUGUGAGGCAUGCUGGAGGUAUCAGAAGUGCGAAUGCUGACAUAAGUAACGAUAAAGCGGGUGAAAAGCCCGCUCGCCGGAAGACCAAGGGUUCCUGUCCAACGUUAAUCGGGGCAGGGUGAGUCGACCCCUAAGGCGAGGCCGAAAGGCGUAGUCGAUGGGAAACAGGUUAAUAUUCCUGUACUUGGUGUUACUGCGAAGGGGGGACGGAGAAGGCUAUGUUGGCCGGGCGACGGUUGUCCCGGUUUAAGCGUGUAGGCUGGUUUUCCAGGCAAAUCCGGAAAAUCAAGGCUGAGGCGUGAUGACGAGGCACUACGGUGCUGAAGCAACAAAUGCCCUGCUUCCAGGAAAAGCCUCUAAGCAUCAGGUAACAUCAAAUCGUACCCCAAACCGACACAGGUGGUCAGGUAGAGAAUACCAAGGCGCUUGAGAGAACUCGGGUGAAGGAACUAGGCAAAAUGGUGCCGUAACUUCGGGAGAAGGCACGCUGAUAUGUAGGUGAAGUCCCUCGCGGAUGGAGCUGAAAUCAGUCGAAGAUACCAGCUGGCUGCAACUGUUUAUUAAAAACACAGCACUGUGCAAACACGAAAGUGGACGUAUACGGUGUGACGCCUGCCCGGUGCCGGAAGGUUAAUUGAUGGGGUUAGCGCAAGCGAAGCUCUUGAUCGAAGCCCCGGUAAACGGCGGCCGUAACUAUAACGGUCCUAAGGUAGCGAAAUUCCUUGUCGGGUAAGUUCCGACCUGCACGAAUGGCGUAAUGAUGGCCAGGCUGUCUCCACCCGAGACUCAGUGAAAUUGAACUCGCUGUGAAGAUGCAGUGUACCCGCGGCAAGACGGAAAGACCCCGUGAACCUUUACUAUAGCUUGACACUGAACAUUGAGCCUUGAUGUGUAGGAUAGGUGGGAGGCUUUGAAGUGUGGACGCCAGUCUGCAUGGAGCCGACCUUGAAAUACCACCCUUUAAUGUUUGAUGUUCUAACGUUGACCCGUGAUCCGGGUUGCGGACAGUGUCUGGUGGGUAGUUUGACUGGGGCGGUCUCCUCCUAAAGAGUAACGGAGGAGCACGAAGGUUGGCUAAUCCUGGUCGGACAUCAGGAGGUUAGUGCAAUGGCAUAAGCCAGCUUGACUGCGAGCGUGACGGCGCGAGCAGGUGCGAAAGCAGGUCAUAGUGAUCCGGUGGUUCUGAAUGGAAGGGCCAUCGCUCAACGGAUAAAAGGUACUCCGGGGAUAACAGGCUGAUACCGCCCAAGAGUUCAUAUCGACGGCGGUGUUUGGCACCUCGAUGUCGGCUCAUCACAUCCUGGGGCUGAAGUAGGUCCCAAGGGUAUGGCUGUUCGCCAUUUAAAGUGGUACGCGAGCUGGGUUUAGAACGUCGUGAGACAGUUCGGUCCCUAUCUGCCGUGGGCGCUGGAGAACUGAGGGGGGCUGCUCCUAGUACGAGAGGACCGGAGUGGACGCAUCACUGGUGUUCGGGUUGUCAUGCCAAUGGCACUGCCCGGUAGCUAAAUGCGGAAGAGAUAAGUGCUGAAAGCAUCUAAGCACGAAACUUGCCCCGAGAUGAGUUCUCCCUGACUCCUUGAGAGUCCUGAAGGAACGUUGAAGACGACGACGUUGAUAGGCCGGGUGUGUAAGCGCAGCGAUGCGUUGAGCUAACCGGUACUAAUGAACCGUGAGGCUUAACC